AGCUGUAGGGAUUCAGCUCAGGCUGGAGUUGCUGGAGAAGAAGUUCUGGACAGCCACGAGACAGCCCAACAACACCGAUUGCAGCACAAUAGAUGGAAUGUGCCCUAUCAACUGUGAUGACGAUAAUCUGAACUGCUAUCUUAUUGACAACAAUGGCUUCAUCCUGGUUUCCAAGGACAAAAAAGAGG
Long non-coding RNA from Polyodon spathula (Mississippi paddlefish), 188 nucleotides. RefSeq lists it as uncharacterized. Lineage: Eukaryota; Metazoa; Chordata; Actinopteri; Acipenseriformes; Polyodontidae. The record is from RefSeq and is a predicted model, not a curated record. The transcript is spliced from 4 exons.